UCUUAUCACCGGCGGCUCUUCAGGGUACCCACCUUCCUCUGACCUCCUCGCCAUUUUCGUUUACUCCCAGUGAUCCUUCAAGACACAGACGAGCUUUGGAGGAAUGCUUCCUCUUUAAUCCUUCUUAUUAUUCCGCUACUUUUGGAGGGAAAUUUGGAAAGAGAAGAAAAAAAAGGCGGGGAUUUUCGCUCUCUAAGUUGCGAUUCUUUGGACCAAUUAAUACGUUUCGAAGGAGGUGCCCCCAGUUCGAAUCUAUAAAACUUUAGAAAGAGAAAGAUGGUGAGUUCAUGUAGAGAGAGAAAGUGUAUCGUUG
RNAcentral lists this long non-coding RNA (313 nucleotides) under Amborella trichopoda. RNAcentral describes it as "long non-coding RNA (ATRI_LNC000753)". The record is from RNAcentral. Lineage: Eukaryota; Viridiplantae; Streptophyta; Magnoliopsida; Amborellales; Amborellaceae.